Molecule: non-coding RNA, 28 nt
Filed under: Homo sapiens (human)
Lineage: Eukaryota; Metazoa; Chordata; Mammalia; Primates; Hominidae
Source: RNAcentral
UGGCAGAUACCUCCCACUGGUAACAGGA